CCUGGUGGUUUUUGCGGGGAGCCCAGAACCCGUUCCCAUCCCGAACACGGCCGUUAAACUCCCCAGCUCCGAUGGUAGUUCGUCUCAAGACGCGCGAGAGUAGGUCGCUGCCAGGC
RNAcentral lists this ribosomal RNA (116 nucleotides) under Rhodospirillales bacterium. The record is from RNAcentral. Lineage: Bacteria; Pseudomonadati; Pseudomonadota; Alphaproteobacteria; Rhodospirillales.